UGGCUCUAGCAUCGAUGAAGAACGCAGCGAAAUGCGAUAAGUAAUGCGAAUUGCAGAAUUCAGUGAAUCAUCGAAUCUUUGAACGCACAUUGCGCCCGCUAGUAUUCUGGCGGGCAUGCCUGUCUGAGCGUCAUUUCACCACUCGCGCCCGGCCUCGCGCCGGGGGCGGCGUUGGGGAUCGGCCGCCCGUCACUGGGAGGCCGGCCCCUAAAUGGAGUGGCGACCGCGCUGUAGCCUCCCCCGCGUAGUACCUAACCUCGCGGGCGGAGAGCGGCGCGGCCCCGCCGUAAAACCCCCCAACUUUCUCAGGUUGACCUCAGAUCAGGUAGGAAUACCCGCUGA
This 342-nucleotide unclassified non-coding RNA is filed under the name uncultured fungus. RNAcentral's name for it is "partial contains 5.8S ribosomal RNA and internal transcribed spacer 2". The stretch from base 1 to 133 matches the Rfam family "5.8S ribosomal RNA", at positions 22 to 154 of the family's 154-position model. The record is from RNAcentral. Lineage: Eukaryota; Fungi.